AUGUCAUUUUACCUAGCUCACCUCCGUGAAUUUGUUUCCCUUUGGACCACAUUACGUGGUGUCCAACUUGAUAACAAUGUCGAUGAUGAUAUUGUGUGGAAGCACACUGCUGGUGGCCAAUAUACGGCAUGAUCCGCUUAGAAAGCGCAAUUUUUUGAUGCUACCCAAUCUGCUAUGAAGCACACAAUGUGGAAAGCUUGGGCGCCGCCUAAUCUCAAGUUAUUUGCUUGGCUGGCCAUCCAAAAUAGAAUUUGGACCACAUAUACACCGGAUAAGAGUUUUUUGCCAAAUUGUGGCAUUUGCUCCUAUGCAAGGGUGAACAAGAAUUCGUGGAUCACCUCCUCUUCAAAUGUCGGUUUUCUCUCCACCAGUGAGAUAUGCUCAAAGGUUGGCUUCAACUUGAGAGCAAUGAUACUACCACUUGGCACCUCUGGCGUACGACUAGAGAUAGGUUGUUGUAUUAUCCGACAAGGCCAUCCAAUUAUAAAAGUGAUGGCAGCCCUCAUCAUGCUCACCUCGUGGACCAUUUGGAACAAAAGGAAUGCACAUGUCUUCCACCACAAGAACUCCCCGCACCGAUGGUUCUCCUUGCCAACAUCAAGAAGACAUUUAUGCUUUGAGUCAUCGCUGGUGUUAAAAAAUUAG
Molecule: ribosomal RNA, 645 nt
Filed under: Triticum aestivum (bread wheat)
Lineage: Eukaryota; Viridiplantae; Streptophyta; Magnoliopsida; Poales; Poaceae
Description: partial small subunit ribosomal RNA
Source: RNAcentral